RNAcentral lists this ribosomal RNA (423 nucleotides) under uncultured Bacteroidales bacterium. RNAcentral's name for it is "bacterial SSU rRNA". It matches the Rfam family "Bacterial small subunit ribosomal RNA", at positions 355 to 774 of the family's 1533-position model. The record is from RNAcentral. Lineage: Bacteria; Pseudomonadati; Bacteroidota; Bacteroidia; Bacteroidales.
UGAGGAAUAUUGGUCAAUGGGCGGAAGCCUGAACCAGCCAUGCCGCGUGCGGGAAGGAGGCCCUACGGGCCGUGAACCGCUUUUGCUGGGGGGCAAUAAGGGGGUUUCGUACCCCCGACGAGCGUACCCCGCGAAUAAGCAUCGGCUAACUCCGUGCCAGCAGCCGCGGUAAUACGGGGGAUGCGAGCGUUAUCCGGAUUCAUUGGGUUUAAAGGGUGCGUAGGCUGUGCGUCAAGUCAGGGGUGAAAUUCCGUCGCUCAACGUCGGUUGUGCCCUUGAUACUGUCGCGCUGGAGUGCGGGUGCCGCCGGAGGAAUGAGUGGUGUAGCGGUGAAAUGCAUAGAUAUCACUCAGAACACCGAUUGCGAAGGCAUCCGGCGAAUCCGCCACUGACGCUGAGGCACGAAAGCGUGGGGAUAGAACA